This 301-nucleotide ribosomal RNA is filed under the name uncultured bacterium. Its description in RNAcentral is "partial 16S ribosomal RNA". It matches the Rfam family "Bacterial small subunit ribosomal RNA", at positions 509 to 807 of the family's 1533-position model. The record is from RNAcentral.
CAGUCGCCACGGGAAUACGAAGGGUGCAAGCGUUAAUCGGAAUUACUGGGCGUAAAGCGUGCGUAGGCGGUGAGUUAAGUCUGCUGUGAAAUCCCCGGGCUCAACCUGGGAAUGGCAGUGGAUACUGGCUCGCUAGAGUGUGUCAGAGGAUGGUGGAAUUCCCGGUGUAGCGGUGAAAUGCGUAGAGAUCGGGAGGAACAUCAGUGGCGAAGGCGGCCAUCUGGGACAACACUGACACUGAGGCACGAAAGCGUGGGGAGCAAACAGGAUUAGAUACCCCCGUAGUCCCUGUCUCUUAUAC